AAUAUUUAUUGAAUCUCUAUAUCAAGGGUGUCAAACUCAUUUUCACCGGGGGCCACAUCAGCCUCAUGGUUGCCUUCAAAAAGCCGAAUGUAGUUUUAGGUCUAUAUAAAUGUAGCUUUUCCUUAACAGUGAAGGGAGAGCUUGGUGCCACUGCCAGGUAGAAACAAGGUGCCAGGCCUGAUAAAACAAGGUGGAGGGCCGGAUUUGGCCCUUGAGCCUUGUGUUUGCCA
Long non-coding RNA from Phyllostomus discolor (pale spear-nosed bat), 230 nucleotides. RefSeq lists it as uncharacterized. The transcript has 4 exons. Lineage: Eukaryota; Metazoa; Chordata; Mammalia; Chiroptera; Phyllostomidae. The record is from RefSeq and is a predicted model, not a curated record.